ACUCCUGCGGGAGGCAGCAGUGGGGAAUUUUGGACAAUGGGCGAAAGCCUGAUCCAGCAAUGCCGCGUGUGUGAAGAAGGCCUUCGGGUUGUAAAGCACUUUUGUCCGGAAAGAAAUCCUUGGCUCUAAUACAGUCGGGGGAUGACGGUACCGGAAGAAUAAGCACCGGCUAACUACGUGCCAGCAGCCGCGGUAAUACGUAGGGUGCGAGCGUUAAUCGGAAUUACUGGGCGUAAAGCGUGCGCAGGCGGUUUGCUAAGACCGAUGUGAAAUCCCCGGGCUCAACCUGGGAACUGCAUUGGUGACUGGCAGGCUAGAGUAUGGCAGAGGGGGGUAGAAUUCCACGUGUAGCAGUGAAAUGCGUAGAGAUGUGGAGGAAUACCGAUGGCGAAGGCAGCCCCCUGGGCCAAUACUGACGCUCAUGCACGAAAGCGUGGGGAGCAAACAGGAUUAGAUACCCUUGUAGUCCC
RNAcentral lists this ribosomal RNA (470 nucleotides) under uncultured organism. Its description in RNAcentral is "partial 16S ribosomal RNA". It matches the Rfam family "Bacterial small subunit ribosomal RNA", at positions 335 to 797 of the family's 1533-position model. The record is from RNAcentral.